CCCUUAGAUGUUCUGGGCCGCACGCGCGCUACACUGAUGCAUUCAACGAGCCUAUCCUUGACCGACAGGUCCGGGUAAUCUUUGAAUCUGCAUCGUGACGGGGAUAGAUUAUUGCAAUUAUUAAUCUUCAACGAGGAAUGCCUAGUAGGCGCAAGUCAUCAGCUUGCGUCGAUUACGUCCCUGCCCUUUGUACACACCGCCCGUCGCUCCUACCGAUUGGGUGUGCUGGUGAAAUGUUCGGAUCGGCCGUUUGUCGCGGUUUCCGCGUCAUGUGGCUGAGAAGUUCAUUAAACCCUCCCACCUAGAGGAAGGAGAAAUCGUAACA
RNAcentral lists this ribosomal RNA (325 nucleotides) under uncultured eukaryote. RNAcentral's name for it is "partial 18S ribosomal RNA". It matches the Rfam family "Eukaryotic small subunit ribosomal RNA", at positions 1470 to 1796 of the family's 1831-position model. The record is from RNAcentral.